Molecule: long non-coding RNA, 2251 nt
Organism: Ictidomys tridecemlineatus (thirteen-lined ground squirrel)
Lineage: Eukaryota; Metazoa; Chordata; Mammalia; Rodentia; Sciuridae
Source: RefSeq, a predicted model, not a curated record
AAGAUCUAGAGGUUUAGAUACCUAAAUGAAAUAAUUUUUGAACUUUUUGUUUACUUUUUGCAAUGAGAAUGUAUUAUAGCACUACUUGAGCUUUUUAAAAAAUAAGUACAAGUUUGAAGGAAUCAAUGAGACAAGUCAUGUAAAGUAUUCAGUACAGUGCCUGACUUAUCAUUAGAACUUCAUCAAUUUUCACUAGCUUCACUAUUUUGUUUAAAAGAGGAAGUUAUCGAUACAUAGUGGAAUACAGCACGUGACAGUGGUUUGCAGUGUACUAAAAAUCAAUAGUUGACUUCAGGUUGAAAACUUUUCUUUUAAUUAAAAAUACUGAUCUCCCAAACUGUUAUUCAUAGAUCAUUUGUUUCACUAGCUACUUUCAGUUAAUGCUAGAAAUUAUUCCCCAAAAGGGCCUGUGAUCAAACAAGUAUUAAAAUUCUUAUUGUUUAUUUUUUAAAAUAUAAUACUAUGUUUAAUUGUUUUGUUUUUAAAAAUAUAAUACUACGUUUUAUUGUUUUGUUUUUUUAAUAGUCGGGUUGUCAGAAUGGUACAAUUUAAUUAUGCAUUGUGAGCCUCAAACAGGGAAAUCUUGUAUGGAGGACUCCUGAAACUUACUGAACUUCAGAAUCCUUUCUCUCAAGCAUCCCCAGAGACUUCUCUUCCGUGAAACACCUUUUACAAAAAAUACUUCCUAGACCAUAAUACAUCUAACAGACACCACAACAUCCAUUUACGGACUCUGAACAAAUGAUUAACCACGUGACACAUUGGAUUGGAAAGUACAUCCAGUGCAUCUCUUGGAGAAGACACAGUGCAGAAUUUCCCUUCUAAGAUGACAGCAGUCUGUGGCAAUACCCAGUCAAUGACAAGCAAUUUUAUGUGUUAGGCAAGUACCUGGAAGUCCUCCAGCUAGUCCUUGCCCUGAUGGGAAUGAGGAGAUCUUGCCUUCUUGGAGUUUAUAUUAAUACAAGUGUGCCCAGGAGUCCUCACCAUGGCAAAAGAAGAGGCCUUGUAGGACCGGAUUCAUUUUACAACCACCUUGUUUAAAAAAGACCCUUCUUUCCAGUUCUGUGGGGAGAGAGAGAAGCCAGUGUGUGCAAAGAACUGAAUAAAUCGCACCUGUGAAUGCUGAAGGAGGUGCCUUGUAACUACAAGUGAACUUCAAUCACCAAGACAGUACUGCCUCCCGGGCUGGCCUCUGAGCAACCAAGAAGGAUUCUGUAAUGGAGGAAAUCCAGUCUGACAAUGAGAACUUUAAACUGCGAUCAGCCACAGUUACACAAAAACAGAGGAGAAAACACAAACUCAGAUACUCCCAAUAUUUAAUAUCCAAGCCAGAAUCACUGCUGAGCUAGAAGUUUCUACUCUGGAUCUUGUGAUCCAUUUGGGGCCCACCUCUUUUGCUUACUGCUAGCUGCUUUCUGUCGCUCAGAUUCCAUUUAUCAGGCCAAGGAAGAGAUUUCAGGAGGUUGUUUUGACCCAAUUCUCUGUUUUGAAUAAGCUGAGUCAAUUAUGAAACCUUACCAACCCAGCUUGGAGGAGCAGGGUGCUGGCAGAGAGAAGGUGCUUCAUCCACAGAAUGAAAGAGUUAAAAAUUAUUAGUAGAGAUCAUGUGAUCCAUAAACGUCUAACCUGGACAGUUUGUGAACAAGCAGCAUUAUGGUUACCAUACGCAAUUAUUUGCUGAGUUGAAAAAUGAAUGGCACAAACCCUACGUAUUUUAUCUUUUCUAAAAUUAGCUCACAGUCCUAUUAAUCAGGAGGGGGAGUAAUAAGCCACCUGCAGAUGACAUCCAUGGCAUUUCAUGCCCCGAAGACGUUCAUGUUCUUUUUCUAGGAGGAGUCAUAGUAUUUGCCUUCAACUGGAUGAAUUUAGCACUCCUGUCAUUAAAGCUUUUUCUUCACCCAGAGCCUGUACUUUGUCAGAAAACCAAGUGAUCAAGUUACCAGGCCAGAAAAGCAGUCUAUUUUAAGAAUGAAAAAGUUUUAGCCGAAAGUAUACUAAUUUACUCACUUUGCACAGAGUGAUAGAAAACAGGUCUUCAUAGACUGAGGAUGUGAGCAUUGAUGUCACUUAGUCCAGUAGCUUUCAGAUGCCUCCAGACACUUGACAGUGGUUGAAUUCUGUCCUAGGGGAGGCAUACCUGGUCCUCUGCUACUUAGAAAAGACUAAAGGGAGACUGAAGGGAACCAUUCUGGCCAAAGUAGAGGAAGGGCAUAGAAACCUCAAAUCAUGGCUUUUCCCUUGCUCCAAGUGA